GAGUUUGAUCGUGGCUCAGAUUGAACGCUGGCGGCAGGCCUAACACAUGCAAGUCGAGCGGUAGAGAGAAGCUUGCUUCUCUUGAGAGCGGCGGACGGGUGAGUAAUGCCUAGGAAUCUGCCUGGUAGUGGGGGAUAACGCUCGGAAACGGACGCUAAUACCGCAUACGUCCUACGGGAGAAAGCAGGGGACCUUCGGGCCUUGCGCUAUCAGAUGAGCCUAGGUCGGAUUAGCUAGUUGGUGAGGUAAUGGCUCACCAAGGCGACGAUCCGUAACUGGUCUGAGAGGAUGAUCAGUCACACUGGAACUGAGACACGGUCCAGACUCUACGGAGGCAGCAGUGGGGAAUAUUGGACAAUGAGCGAAAGCCUGAUCCAGCCAUGCCGCGUGUGUGAAGAAGGUCUUCGGAUUGUAAAGCACUUUAAGUUGGAGGAAGGGCAGUAAAUUAAUACUUUGCUGUUUUGACGUUACCGACAGAAUAAGCACCGGCUAACUCUGUGCCAG
RNAcentral lists this ribosomal RNA (504 nucleotides) under uncultured bacterium. Its description in RNAcentral is "bacterial SSU rRNA". It matches the Rfam family "Bacterial small subunit ribosomal RNA", at positions 9 to 511 of the family's 1533-position model. The record is from RNAcentral.